CUGCCAAACCCAAGUUUCUAUUAGCUCUGCUUACAAUCCCANNUUUCGCCCCGCGGCGCCGCG
Molecule: ribosomal RNA, 63 nt
Filed under: Sclerotinia sclerotiorum
Lineage: Eukaryota; Fungi; Ascomycota; Leotiomycetes; Helotiales; Sclerotiniaceae
Description: partial 28S ribosomal RNA
Source: RNAcentral